AAAUUGAAGAGUUUGAUCAUGGCUCAGAUUGAACGCUGGCGGCAGGCCUAACACAUGCAAGUCGAACGGUAACAGGAAGCAGCUUGCUGCUUUGCUGACGAGUGGCGGACGGGUGAGUAAUGUCUGGGAAACUGCCUGAUGGAGGGGGAUAACUACUGGAAACGGUGGCUAAUACCGCAUAACGUCGCAAGACCAAAGAGGGGGACCUUCGGGCCUCUUGCCAUCAGAUGUGCCCAGAUGGGAUUAGCUUGUUGGUGAGGUAACGGCUCACCAAGGCGACGAUCCCUAGCUGGUCUGAGAGGAUGACCAGCCACACUGGAACUGAGACACGGUCCAGACUCCUACGGGAGGCAGCAGUGGGGAAUAUUGCACAAUGGGCGCAAGCCUGAUGCAGCCAUGCCGCGUGUAUGAAGAAGGCCUUCGGGUUGUAAAGUACUUUCAGCGGGGAGGAAGGUGUUGUGGUUAAUAACCGCAGCAAUUGACGUUACCCGCAGAAGAAGCACCGGCUAACUCCGUGCCAGCAGCCGCGGUAAUACGGAGGGUGCAAGCGUUAAUCGGAAUUACUGGGCGUAAAGCGCACGCAGGCGGUCUGUCAAGUCGGAUGUGAAAUCCCCGGGCUCAACCUGGGAACUGCAUUCGAAACUGGCAGGCUUGAGUCUUGUAGAGGGGGGUAGAAUUCCAGGUGUAGCGGUGAAAUGCGUAGAGAUCUGGAGGAAUACCGGUGGCGAAGGCGGCCCCCUGGACAAAGACUGACGCUCAGGUGCGAAAGCGUGGGGAGCAAACAGGAUUAGAUACCCUGGUAGUCCACGCCGUAAACGAUGUCUACUUGGAGGUUGUGCCCUUGAGGCGUGGCUUCCGGAGCUAACGCGUUAAGUAGACCGCCUGGGGAGUACGGCCGCAAGGUUAAAACUCAAAUGAAUUGACGGGGGCCCGCACAAGCGGUGGAGCAUGUGGUUUAAUUCGAUGCAACGCGAAGAACCUUACCUGGUCUUGACAUCCACGGAAGAAUUCAGAGAUGGAUUUGUGCCUUCGGGAACCGUGAGACAGGUGCUGCAUGGCUGUCGUCAGCUCGUGUUGUGAAAUGUUGGGUUAAGUCCCGCAACGAGCGCAACCCUUAUCCUUUGUUGCCAGCGGUCCGG
This 1139-nucleotide ribosomal RNA is filed under the name Salmonella enterica. RNAcentral's name for it is "bacterial SSU rRNA". It matches the Rfam family "Bacterial small subunit ribosomal RNA", at positions 1 to 1134 of the family's 1533-position model. The record is from RNAcentral. Lineage: Bacteria; Pseudomonadati; Pseudomonadota; Gammaproteobacteria; Enterobacterales; Enterobacteriaceae. RNAcentral also lists the same sequence under 1 other name.